UACGGGGGGAGCAAGCGUUGUUCGGAUUUACUGGGCGUAAAGGGCGCGUAGGCGGUCAGCACAAGUCAGUUGUGAAAUCUCCGAGCUUAACUCGGAAAGGUCAACUGAAACUGUGCGACUAGAGUGCGGAAGGGGCAACUGGAAUUCUUGGUGUAGCGGUGAAAUGCGUAGAUAUCAAGAGGAACACCUGCGGCGAAGGCGGGUUGCUGGGCCGACACUGACGCUGAGACGCGAAAGCGUGGGGAGCAAACAGG
Molecule: ribosomal RNA, 254 nt
Filed under: uncultured bacterium
Lineage: Bacteria
Description: partial 16S ribosomal RNA
Rfam family: Bacterial small subunit ribosomal RNA
Source: RNAcentral